Paramormyrops kingsleyae is the source of this 1672-nucleotide non-coding RNA. The record is from RefSeq and is a predicted model, not a curated record. Lineage: Eukaryota; Metazoa; Chordata; Actinopteri; Osteoglossiformes; Mormyridae.
GAUUAGCCAUAUGAGGCGCGCUAGUGGUCCAGUCAAAAAAUACAUGGGUGAUGUUGGACGGUUGCUGCAAAUCCUGGGGUGACUUUAGGAGAGGUUCUGAAAUUGUGAAGCCAACACACCUCGACAGACAUCAUAUCAUAGUUUUAUACAUGCAUGAAGAUAAUUUAUACAUUUUAUCUCGCUGCAUAUGACUUUUGCGCAGUGCUAUGUAUUGUUGAACCGGAGAAGGUCUAUUCAAUUUCUUGGAUAAAGGAAACUGGUAGUCCUGGUAUUUAUAAACUUCAGAGUGGCAGAAUGUCGUGUUUUUUGCUGUGUACAUGUACUCAGCUGUUUACCUAACUUUUCUGCAUUGUACCACCAGAAAAUAUUUGUUAUGCCAAAUAUGGAUGAUGUGUGGCUUCCCAUCAUGCACUCUGCCAUGGACACCCGUUCCAACGUUAACUUGAUCGACGGGACCGCAGCCGACUCGAGGGAGACCGAUGCCAAGGAGGCAGAGACGUCGGCUGCAUGCUUGGACUAGCUGUCACCAGCAGUGUUAGCACUGACUGAGCCACUCCAAUGCAGAAAUCACAUCGAUGCCACUGUAUCCAUCAAAAUAGCCAAUCAGAAGCCUGUCCACUCAACUGCUUCAUUUGCACUGAAGCGAGCAGCCUUACUGCACGUGUCUGUGCUCAAACAUACCAAUGCUGUGUGAUUUUAGCACACCAAACGAAUGUACAGAGAAAAAGCAAUUUAAAGAAUCACAAAUAUGUACGUCUAAAAUCUGUUUGGCCUGUGAGCUUUUUGUUUGUUGUAAAAUAAUCCUGAUGUUAAUUUAUUUUUAUGAAGCCAUUUCUUAAAUAGCAAAGGCUACAGAGUGCAGAUUAUGCAAAUUAUUGGUGUGGGAGAACCGCGAAUUGCAAGACCGACAGAUAUAUAAUGUUUUAAAUAGUUUACAUUAGUGUGACAUACAAAGAUUGUAUAUUGGCAAUACUCUGGUCAAAACUGUGGGUUAGUUUCCCAUAUUACAGUUCUGUCUAGAAUACAGUGUUGCCAUGACAUUUUCAUAUGGGUGCAUUCUUUAUUGAUUUAAUGUAACAAAAGAUUCUACUUUAAAAUGGUUAAAUACCACUGUGUGCAGACCUUCAAAACAAAGCAUUAUUGGUCUAGUGUUUUCCCAUUUAUCGUUAAAAGAUUCUCCUCUAUCUCAAUAAUUCAAUGUAGACAAUGCUACACUGCAUCACCAGGCUUAUAUUUUUGCUGCACUUCCAAGCCCAGUACAGAUGUCUUAUCUCCUUCCUCAGAGUAAUAGGUAUAAUUUUGUACCUUAAACUGCAGAACUAUAUUAAGCAAUUCUAUUGGGCAUAAUAUUUUUCAUGUUAAUUACAUCACAAGUGUAACCCCUCCCCUUUCUUUUUAUACAAUAAAAGCAUAAGGCACAACUGUCUUUCUCCCUCUAGAACAAUGUUUCCCAAUCCGGUCCUCGGGGACCCACCGACAGUCCACAUUUUUGCUCCCCCCUGAGUCCGGUCAGAGAGCUGGGAAGGAGCAAAAAAUGUGGACUGUCUGGCAUGGAGCUGGGAGAAAGCAAGGGCGUGGACCAAUUGUGGGUCUCUGAUGACUGGACUGGGAAGCACUGCUUUAGAAUUUCUGAAUGAGCCAUAUUAAAGUGUAUAAAUUAAAUGAUUUCAAA